Molecule: long non-coding RNA, 766 nt
Filed under: Bos indicus x Bos taurus (hybrid cattle)
Lineage: Eukaryota; Metazoa; Chordata; Mammalia; Artiodactyla; Bovidae
Description: lncRNA (ENSBIXG00005031246.1)
Source: RNAcentral
UUUCAAUGGGCGCCUUUCGAUUUCCACAAUUUUUUUUUAAGCUAAAGUGAAUGGUACAAAACAAGUUGUCUUGCUUCUUUAGCCGUGUAGACCUGCCCGUGAAAAACUUGCCUGAGGUCACUUGGCCUUCCCAAAGCAGUCAGGGAGAGAGCUGCUGAAUCUGGAAGGGCAGAGCUAACAGAGAACCAAAGGCAAUCAACAAAAGAGAAGUGAACUCGUCACAUCUCUGCUAUUCCCCCAGAAGUGUGUGCAGAAGUGAGAGACUCCCGGCCCAGGAAGAAAGAUCUAAAGCUGUGUCCAUAUCGCUAAACACGGCAUUUGAUUUCUUUCCCCAUCAGGGUCCACCUGAGUGGGAGGAGUUACUCUUUGAAGGCAACAAGCAUGGAGACUGGAAGUUAAUGAUUAGACCCACCUUCUUGCACAGAAGGAAACUAAAUCCGAUCAACCAGAGGAGCCCGAAGAAAAUGAAUAAGUGGCAGAAAACCUUAUAAAAAGAAAACAAAAAGUCUGCUGCAAAACCACAGCCCCUGUGACAAUCAGAGGGGGAAGACACAGGGUAAUCUCCCCCCUUAUUGAAAUAUUCAUUUGUCCUUUCUCUGCUGUUUUGGAAGCAUUUACAGCAGCUUUCACAAGCUUUCAGCUUCAAUUUAGAAAGUAGCUCUUCAAAGAGAAGGAUGAUCUUUAAUUUCUUCUUCACCUUUCUACAGCACUCUGCACACAGCUGGUGUUCAAUAAAUGUUUUGCGCACUCAAAUGUAAGAAGUAUG